GAUGAACGCUGGCGGCGUGCCUAAUACAUGCGAGUCGAGCGAACGGACGAGAAGCUUGCUUCUCUGAUGUUAGCGGCGGACGGGUGAGUAACACGUGGAUAACCUACCUAUAAGACUGGGAUAACUUCGGGAAACCGUAGCUAAUACCGGAUAAUAUUUUGAACCGCAUGGUUCAAAAGUGAAAGACGGUCUUGCUGUCACUUAUAGAUGGAUCCGCGCUGCAUUAGCUAGUUGGUAAGGUAACGGCUUACCAAGGCAACGAUGCAUAGCCGACCUGAGAGGGGGAUCGGCCACACGGGCACGGAGACGCGGACCAGACGACUGCGGGAGGGAGCAGUGGGGAAUGUGGCGCAAUGGGCGAAAGCAUGACGAAGCAAGGCCGAGUGAGUGGUGAAGGUGUUCGGAUCGUAAAACUGUGUUAUUAGGGAAGAACAUAUGUGUAAGGAAAUGUGCACAGCGUGACGGUACCUAAUCAGAAAGCAACGGCUAACUACGUG
RNAcentral lists this ribosomal RNA (497 nucleotides) under uncultured bacterium. RNAcentral's name for it is "partial 16S ribosomal RNA". It matches the Rfam family "Bacterial small subunit ribosomal RNA", at positions 28 to 507 of the family's 1533-position model. The record is from RNAcentral.